Molecule: long non-coding RNA, 1056 nt
Organism: Cyprinus carpio (common carp)
Lineage: Eukaryota; Metazoa; Chordata; Actinopteri; Cypriniformes; Cyprinidae
Exons: 3
Source: RefSeq, a predicted model, not a curated record
UGUGACUUUGCUGCAGCCUGGAAUUGAACUGCUGGUUUCGUCUGGCCAGAGGAGAACUGAUUCCCAUCUGAGCCUGGUUUCUCCCAAGGUUUUUUCUCCAUUCUGUCACCGAUGGCGUUUUGGUUCUUUGCCGCUUUUCCCCCCGGGGGGUUGUUCCAUAAAAGCCGCUUAGAAAAGCGGGGAUUAAAGUCCAAAACCUGACUUGAAUGAGCCGAGCUAAACAUCCGCGCUUAAAUUGGUUCCAUAACAGUAAGUUGAGGAUCAUGUGAUCUUACUAAUUUGAGUCAGGUUUAAAUAGUCUAGAUAAUUGCGCGUGCACGCCAUUGUUUAAAAGUCCUGAAAAGUCGAACAUGGGUCAAUCGAUUUACUGUGGGCUACCAUGGCAACAAAAGGAAAAGAUAGAGCAGCGAUGUUCACGGCAACGGAAUAGCGUUUGCUAUUGGAAACAUAUGAAGAAUUUAAAGAUGUCAUCACCAAAAAAGGCAAUACAGCGGCAAUAAAUAAAGCAAGAGAGAAAGGUUGGCAGGAAAUUGCUGAUCGUCUCAAUGCGUAAGGAGCAGUGUAAGCUAUUUAAAAUACUUUAUCAACAUUGAAUGUGUGUCACAAUAUAUUGCAAAGUUUGUGUGUGAAUACCAGUAACGUUAAUUGCUUUCACGCAGCAGCAACAUAAGUGAUGGAAAAAGAACCUGGCAGCAGGUGAAAAUAAAAUAUAAAAAUAUAGUUCAGAAUGCGACCAAAAAGACUGAGGUUGCUGGCACUGGGGGAGGGCCACCACUAGCCAGCUUCACUCCUGCAGAGGAGCUGGCUUUGGAAAUUAAUAAAGGGAGGCCCGUCCUUGAGGGAAUAGAGGGGGGGGACAUCAUCUAAAAUUAUAUCACGUAGUAUAAGGAAUUCUGUAUGCUUUAUGGAUCCACCAGACAUCAUGUUGCCUGUGAGUAUGAGACCUUUUAAAUCAGUCAUGUAAGCUAAUGAGUUUAACUGAGUUUAAUCAGUUGUCACAGGGAGAAGGCCCAUCAGUUGAGGAGGAUGAGGAGACUGUCUGUAUGUUCAAGGAGG